This 146-nucleotide small RNA is filed under the name Solirubrobacterales bacterium. RNAcentral's name for it is "c-di-AMP sequence". It matches the Rfam family "c-di-AMP riboswitch aptamer (ydaO/yuaA leader)". From Rfam's summary of the family: This family represents a conserved RNA structure found upstream of the ydaO and yuaA genes in Bacillus subtilis and related genes in other bacteria. The ydaO/yuaA element is thought to act as a genetic "off" switch for the ydaO and yuaA genes in its native state. The record is from RNAcentral. Lineage: Bacteria; Bacillati; Actinomycetota; Thermoleophilia; Solirubrobacterales.
AAGACCAACGAGCCGAGUCGUCCUCUCCCAACAAGGAGGACGAGCGGGGGAACCAGGUAUCCGGGGCGAGUCCACGAGAAGUGGAGGCGCAAGCUCCUUUAGCGCCAGCCCGACAGCUAACCCCGUAGGCCGACGAAGGAGAUCGA